AGGGCACCACCAGGAGUGGAGCCUGCGGCUUAAUUUGACUCAACACGGGAAAACUCACCCGGCCCGGACACCGUAAGGAUUGACAGACUGAGAGCUCUUUCUUAAUUCGGUGGGUGGUGGUGCAUGGCCGUUCUUAGUUGGUGGAGCGAUUUGUCUGGUUAAUUCCGAUAACGAACGAGACUCUGGCCUAUUAAAUAGGCGAUACAUAGAAAAGUGUAUCGAACUUCUUAGAGGGACAAGCGGCGUCUAGCCGCAUGAAAUAGAGCAAUAACAGGUCUGUGAUGCCCUUAGAUGUCCGGGGCUGCACGCGCGCUACACUGAAAGAGUCAGCGUGCGUUUUACCUAGUUCGGAAGAACCGGGUAACCCAAGUAAAUUCUUUCGUGCUUGGGAUAGAGAAUUGCAAGUAUUUCUCUUAAACGAGGAAUUCCCAGUAAAUGCGGGUCAUAAGCUCGCGUUGAUUACGUCCCUGCCCUUUGUACACACCGCCCGUCGCUACUACCGAUUGGAUGACUUAGUGA
This 519-nucleotide ribosomal RNA is filed under the name uncultured eukaryote. Its description in RNAcentral is "SSU rRNA". It matches the Rfam family "Eukaryotic small subunit ribosomal RNA", at positions 1161 to 1704 of the family's 1831-position model. The record is from RNAcentral.